This 153-nucleotide non-coding RNA is filed under the name Brevibacillus borstelensis. RNAcentral describes it as "SAM-I sequence". It matches the Rfam family "SAM riboswitch aptamer (S box leader)". Rfam says of the family: The SAM riboswitch is found upstream of a number of genes which code for proteins involved in methionine or cysteine biosynthesis in Gram-positive bacteria. Lineage: Bacteria; Bacillati; Bacillota; Bacilli; Caryophanales; Paenibacillaceae. The record is from RNAcentral. RNAcentral also lists the same sequence under 1 other name.
CUCUUAUCGCGAGCUGGCUGAGGGACUGGCCCUAUGAUGCCCGGCAACCGGCGCUUACCCUGCAAGGGGGGCGAAACGGUGCUAAUUCCAACGGUGAGAGUCGAAGCCGCUGACGAAAGUCUGCCACUUCGACCCUGAACCGAGAGAUGAGAG